AUAAAAGGAUGUUUUCGGCACUUGUGAUUUUAUGAAGAAUGUGGCCAACGGCUAAAUGUUCAGCUCGGUGACCGAACGAAAACCUUUUUUUUUUUUUUUUUUGCACGACUUAGCCUAUUGUUUUAUAAAAAGCAAACAUGACAUGCGUGUGCUUAUUUUUAUUUAAAUCAAAUGUAAGUCCAUGUCAGUCAACAUAUCAUAUAACACUUGUUUUAGGGUUAGCGUUUGUAAGCAUAAAAAGCCCCAAAAAAAUAUAUGAAGAUACUUUAAUGUGAUUUUAAUGAUCUUUUUAUAAAAUGCAAAGUCGUCAUAUUCAAUUGACUUUCGUUAUUGUACGGUUGAUUAUAUUUGCAUUCACAAAUCGCAAAAAUACAUUGCAUGUUUACAAAAUGUAUUUACUAACUAUUAAUAUUAAAAUCGUAUUUUUGCUUGCAUACAAUGCAGAAUACAUAUACAUUUUUAUAGAUGCGUGCUUUUAUUAAAUGAUAAAUGCUUAAAUCGUGUCCUUAAGUUCUUUGCAUACACAAAAUGCAAAUACAUGCAAUUAUCAUCUAUCGAUUCUAUAAUUUGAUAAAAAUUAUACAAUCAUUUCUAUGGAUACAGAGCGCAAAUUAAAGACACCCUGUGCUUGUUUUCAAUGUAUUACACAAUAACAAUGAUAGAAAGUUAUAUUUUGCAUACACAAAAUGCUGACUUCUUGUGCAAAAAAAAAAAAACCUAACUUUUUUUAAUAACCGUGCAUUGCCAUUGAUUGUAUUCUGCUGUUGCUUAACUUGUACUUCAGGCUCCGCUGAGCGACCUGUUGGCAGCUGUCCACUAAACAAAAUGCAGGCAGAAACCCCAACAAACGAACCGUGAAACUCUCUCAAACCAAACUCAUUCGCUCAACAGUCUUCCAUUUGCCGCAUUUCCAGUGUCGCAAUCUGCAAAGGCGUUCGGGCAAACUUUGCACAAGUUCUGAGCUCGAGACAAAAGCUGGGGCAGAAUUCCUUCUCUCUACAUAUGAAAAAACAUGGAGGCGGGGCAGCGCUUGACUAUCAAGGAAACGAAGCGCAGGUUUUGCUUCUCUGUAAAGAUAAGUCUUUCCUAACCCCUUGGGGUUUUCUUAUUCCUUGCAACACCAAUGGAGAUGUUUGACGGAAUGACGCUUUUAUUGUGUUUCGGAAAAGAAACAGUUGAAGUGAACAGUCUCAGUUCCAUUGAAGACAUAUGGAUGUAAAACGACAUGAGGCUGAGGAGAUAAAAAUUUCCAUUUUGAGUAUAUUUCCUUUAACUCUAUAGAGCCUACUUCAUGAAUGUCUAAGGACCUUUAAUCAUAAGCGCCAUAAACCUUUCUAAAGCAUAUGUAUGCUCUCAUCUGAUUGAUAGUUCAUUAUCUUUUUAAGUUAACUGUUAUUGUAAUUCUAAAGAUCCUCGUUCAUGUUUAGGUGGCAUCACGUCUUUGUGGUUUAAAAUCUGAUGAUAAAGUACGCGUUUAAAUAUAUCAUUGUUUUUUAGAUCAAAUUUGAUACAUCAGAUUUUUGAGAAAUUAAUUUGUACAUCUCUCAGUCAUCAUUGUACUGAAUUGAAUUGUGUUUAUGCCCAUCAAUA
Long non-coding RNA from Puntigrus tetrazona (Sumatra barb), 1590 nucleotides. RefSeq lists it as uncharacterized. NCBI's taxonomy places the organism in Eukaryota, Metazoa, Chordata, Actinopteri, Cypriniformes, Cyprinidae. The transcript has 3 exons. The record is from RefSeq and is a predicted model, not a curated record.